RNAcentral lists this ribosomal RNA (496 nucleotides) under uncultured bacterium. RNAcentral's name for it is "partial 16S ribosomal RNA". It matches the Rfam family "Bacterial small subunit ribosomal RNA", at positions 28 to 506 of the family's 1533-position model. The record is from RNAcentral.
GUUGAACGCUGGCGGCGUGCCUAAUACAUGCAAGUCGAGCGGACAAACGAGGCGCUUGCUCCUCUGACGUGAGCGACGGACGGGUGAUUAACACGUGGAUAACCUGCCUAUAAGACUGAGAUCACUUCGGGAAACCUAAGCUAACACACGAUAAGAUAUUGAACCGCAUGGUUCAUUAGUGCACGCCCUAUUUGCUGUCACUUAUAGAUGGAUUCGGGCGGCAUUAGCUAGUGGGUAGGGUAACGGCUUACCAGGGCAACGUUGCGUAGCCGACCAGGCAGGGGGUCAGGCCAACCUGAAACUGAGACACGUCCCAGAUCCUUACGGGAGGAAGCGGGAGGAAAUUUUGCGCAAUGGGCGAAAGCCUGACGGAGCAACGCCGCGGGAGUGAUGAAGGUUUUCGGUUGGAAAAACUCUGUUAUUGGGGAAGAACAAAUGUAGAUGUAACCUUGCUCGUUUGGAGGGUACAUAAGCAGAAGGCCACGGCAAACUACGG